AUAGCCUUUUAUUCCAUGAACUAGAGAUGAUUGCUCUAGAAAAUUUGCUGGGUCACUUUUAAUUAUUAAAAGAGCAAAUUCAUGGUUUCUUUGUGGUCGAGCCACACUGUAUAGUAUUUUCUUUUUUGUUCUAUUUAAAUUUAGGUGGGUUAUUAAUACUUCCUGGCAGUGGUUAUGAGAGAAGGAUGACUGAGAAUUUGGUAGACAAGUUAAUCUCAUUUUUACUGUGUUUCUAGAGCCACCCACUUUCCCUUCUUACAAAUUGACACCAAAAAGUCAUUACCAGUUUUGCAGAGACCAAAGUACUGACCUCCUGCAUCCUUCUGUCUUACCUUCUGCCCUGUUUUUGCUGCUCUCUGCUUUUCUUCUGCACAUUUCUCAUUUUUCAGCUUCUCUCACCAGACUGUCAUUCAGGGCACCUCCACACAUGACUCCUGCCUGCAGGCACCUUUGUGGGAUUGAUGUUAUUUAAGGCCAGGGAGUCAGUAAAGAGUGGCCACUGACUCAAUGAGAUGAAACCAUGAGGUACCUAGCAAAACCCUAUUUCCAGCCCCAUACCCUGCAAAUGAACACGCUCUUAAUGUCAGUAAAUAAUCAGUUGAACAUCAAGACCACUGAAGCCUGAUGGAUUUGUAUAAUGGAUCUUUAAGAAGUCCCACAUCUCUGUGAAGACAUUUUAUCUGUAUUUUUAGCAGAAAUUGUGAUAUCCCAUCCUGCUGUAACAAGGCCCAGCAGAAACUGGAUUAGACAAAUUCAACCCAAAUUCAUUUUUGCUCUUCUGUAGCAAAUUUCAGUCUUGUCAAAAAGAAAUAUUGCCUGGCACUGACAAGGGAGGAAAUCCCAAGGAAAGCAGAGCACAUGGAAUGGACAUCCUGUAAGAAGGUCAUUUUCAGACAGAGAUGUUUUUGGAGCGGUGGAAUACAUAGCAAAUAUGUAUGGGGAGCCUUCUUUUGCAUAGGGAACUAUUAACUGUGGAUGAGGUCUGAGACCAAAUUACUGAGAAAAAGUUAGUUUGUUUUACUUGUCAAGCAAAUACAAAACUGGCAGUGGGCUAGCGAGUGUUGUAUAGGGUGGGAUGUUUGAUGAUUUGAGGAAACAGUGGAGAGACUCCAAAAGGGUGGGCAAUGUGGCUGAAUUGAGCAAAAAUAGGCAGUAGCAGGUGUCAGUUGUGUACAGACUGCAGGAGAUACAAGGUGGUUAUGGCUGAGGGUAACACUGUUGCCUCAGCUGUGGGAUGCAAUGCUGACAGUGGGUCUAGAGUAACGCUUCUGCACUAACCCAGACUCCCCAGAUGUCACCUUCAGCAAAGCACUUCUUACUGACACAAAAAGAGUAAUGGGUCUCUAGCAGAGCAGGACUCACACAGGUCUGCAAAGCCCAGGAGCAUUUUGGUUCAGGGCUUCUUUAGAACCAUAACCCUAACUUGAAUUCAGAUUUCUCAUCAGGGCCACAAAUGCUGCUGGGAAACCUCAGCUCCAACCAGCCACUCAGAUUAAGGUUAGGGUUCAGAGAGACACAAAGCCAACAGGGACUUCAGGGGCACUGGUUAGGCAUGCCAAGGGAGCAAAACACUGCACCAACAUUGCUUCUUGCUUGCCUUUCUCAGCUAGGACAUCCAUGGUACUGGGGCCUUAGCCUCAGAUCCAACCUGCUGUUCAGAUUAGGGUUAGGGUUCAGAGAUCUAAAACACCUACAACUCCAGGGACUCUGACACUGCAAAAGGCAUGGCAAGGGAAGAGGAACUGCACCAACGCUGCUCCCUCCACAUCUUUCUCAUCUGGGAAACCCAUGGAGCUGGGGUCCUCAGCCUCAGCUCCAACCUGCCAUUCAUAUAAGGGUUAGGGUUCAGAGAGCCACAAUGGCUACAGCUUCAGCAGCCCUGACACUGCAAAAGGCAAGCCACGGGGACCACAGCACUGCACUAUCAUUCCUCCUUCCACAUCUUUCUCAUAUGGGCCACCCAAGUUCUUUGAACCCUAAAUAUAAUCCCAAUUACCCACUUCUAGUGAUCCAUGUGGAGGCUAGUGAUACAGAUAGCAGUAGCCUGGAGAAC
Pezoporus occidentalis (night parrot) is the source of this 2053-nucleotide long non-coding RNA. RefSeq lists it as uncharacterized. The record is from RefSeq and is a predicted model, not a curated record. Lineage: Eukaryota; Metazoa; Chordata; Aves; Psittaciformes; Psittacidae. The transcript has 3 exons.